CGAACCAAAUAAUUCUUUAACUAAGUAAAUAAAUAUCAUAGUAUAUGUUAAUAAUCAUACAAGCCUCGUGUGCAUAUUUAAAACAACAGUCAACCACCAUACUGUAUUGCAAUGGAGUACAUUAAAAUGUAUAAAAAGUAAAUGAAUGUGAAUCCGAGCGAUCGUAAGCAACAAUCGACAAAUAAAAUUUAUUUUCUUGUUAAUCACAAAUUUAAUAUCAAUUUGUGUAAGAACAAAAAGGAAUGUAUAUUCACAAUUGUUCACGUCUUCGUGAAUACUAAAUAGUCGUGUAAUCUCAACAAUAGCACGCAAAUAAUAAUACAAAAGACGUUUGCAGAAGAUUUUGAAUCACAGCACCAGUCAAGAAAUGUUCUUUUAUAAAAGUCUCACGUUAUAUCCAUAUUUUAUGGUCCAAGAAAUAAGAAUCGGUAUUUCCGGAUUUUGUGUCAUUGAAUUACCUACAACUCACAUCAGAAAUAAUUAGACGUUGUAGACCUAACUCUAAAUCAACUGGGAAAACUUCCAAAACCAUUUAAGUAUAAGAAAAUGCAUAGAUACAUAAGUAGAGCUGUAUAUUCGUAAAGGAUUUUGGACCAUUAAAUGCCACAUCAUUCUCACUUUCGAAAACCAUCGGGUGUAUAAUAAUAAUACAUCGAUUGCGAACGUCAACAGACUAUAUUAUUAAUAUAUUAUGUAUACUGUAAACGAUGUUUUGUACGUAUAAUAUUAUAUACUUAUACAGUUAUAUAGUUAUAGUAUCAUUACUUACACGCAGAACAUAAUAAUAUAAUAUCAUUAAGUAUCUACAUAAGUCACCCAAACGGACUUUAAAGCGGUCGGAGGACCGUAAUAUAACGUUAUGUAUAAAUAUGCGCGUGUAGCCUGUACGUCUCGCGUAUGAACUAUGUAAUAGUUACCCGUGUUCGAGUAUACCAUGGACUGAGAUAUAAUUAUAUUUUAAUCUGUGGUGUUUACAUUAUACCAAUUACCUACGUAGACUACAUAUUGUCAUAUCAAUAAAUAAUCACACGUUUUACGGUCUGUCCAGAUAAUUGCCACCCGAUAGACGUAAAUGUGUUUGUUUUCAUGUUGUACAUAAUAUUAUCAUGAGUCACUGAGGGAUAACGGGCAACACUCGCAGGGCUACAUUACGUUUGAUUAUUUUAUAUCAAAAACAACGCGUUCGGGUACAAAAUCAUAAUAUGUUUGGGCACUUACGUCUACUCACAGGAAUUGCUACAUCACUACGAUACUAUAUAAAUUAUAGUGGACUGUUUUAAAGUGUGAAGUGUAAAAUAUAACACAAUAUCUGGAAUUUUCAAACAUUUUUUAGUUAUUAUAAUAUUUUAUUAAUAACCACACAAAUUUGACGUAACAUGUUUUUCACGAAUUUGAAUUAUCAUAAAUAAUAUAUUACUAUUAUAUUACUAUAUAGUAUAAAAUGUAUAAUUCUAUAAUAUACAUACUUCCAGUGAUAUAUUAAAUCACCCAACGAUGUGUGUAUUUUAAAUACCAAACAGGUUAAAAUGACACGCUGUAUUAACCCACUGAUAACUUAUUGAUCAAAAUAUUAAAAUAUUUAAUGUAGUUACGUCUGUUUUAGAUUAAUAUUAGAUUAAAUGUUUAUCAAAGAGGUAUAUUAAAGUUUUUACAAACCCAUAUUUGUACAUCACCAAUCAAUAAUCAUGUGAUAUAAAUAAUUGUAUAGCUAACUACAUCACCGAGCGGUGAGUGAUCUAUUUCACGAAGGCACCGUUAAGUGAUAUAGUAUAGUCGAUAAUAUUAAAGUAGUUUUUUGUGUUUUCGCUUCGUUUCGUUAUUUAUGUCUUAAAAUUAAAUAUAUACAGACUGAUUCUCUAAUCACGCGAUCUCACCCUAUUUUAUACUUUAAUAACGUCAUACUUAUUCAAAUUCUGUUUUUUGGAAAGCUGCUUUAAAACAAUAUUUUCAAAUUAAGAAGUGUACUGUAGUGAAAUAAACCUCUUUAUUAGAAUAAGAACCAUACUUUAUAUUAUUGUCUUUAAUGUAUCUAAAUUGAAUUUUGAAUGAGUGUUUUUCAAGUUAUUGAAAUUAGUGUUUUAACGAUAAUCAUCAAGAUAACGAUUUUACAUAAAAUAUAUUAUAAUAUAAUAUGUAAUAUAUUUUGUUCGAGAAUUUAUUUUAAAUUUUAACAUACUCAAACAAUGUUAAAAAUUUUGAAAUAGCUUACCUUCAUUAUUAUGAACUAUUAGUGCAUUCUAAAUACACAGAAGAUGUAAUAACUGAUCAUCAACUCAAAAACUCGUAAUUCGAGUUCAAAUUUCAAUUUAAAUGCAUACAAUUUUCAAAACAAAAAAAAGUAGGCGAUGGUCACCGCUCUGUUGUAGGUACAUUAAGAUAUCCAGUGGGUCAUUAUUUGGGUGUGUCAAAUUUGAAUCCAAUAAUGUAAUAUCAUAUUAUUCAUUAAAAUAUAAGAAUUCUAUUGUAAAUUAUAGAAAUAACGGUAAUAUAAUUAUUUGAUUUAAACCUUAAGUAUCUAUAGUUUUUGCUUUUAAGUUAGGUUGUAUAAAAAACUGAAAUCGAUUUUGUCGAAAAUUGGAUUUGCGUAAAAAGUUCCGUUUUUCUUAGUAUUUUUUUUCUUUGUUUUUCCUAGUAAUAAAAUAAAUUCAGACAUUUUUUACUUUUGAUUCUUUUAAGUAUCAACUAGAUCUGAUUUUCUACCAGAAACCACUUCCAUUUUUGAAAACCAAAGCAUUUUAUUAACUGCUUAUCGGGUUUGUAAUAUAGACACACAAAAAACACACAUCAUUGUAAAAACAAUAUAUUCAUUGAUCUGCUCAGAAUCUAAAAAAAAAAUCAUUUGCUUAACAGAACUGUAAAAUAGAAGGGUUUUAAUUAGAAAACUAACCUACUAUAUAAAAUUCCCAUCGUAUACGUAAAAAAAAUCUGAGUAUUUGAAAAUAUGGUCUUAAUAAAAAGCUUUAGCCCUUAAGUACUUAUAUCUAUGUGUAUUUAAACAUUUCAAAAAUCAGAAUUUAAAUAAAAGCUUAAUUAAAGGGAAAAUUGGGAUGAGCAUGGUUGGUGAAUCACUCUGUAUAUCAUAUAGGUACGACACAGUCAAUAAAUAAAAUAUACAAUUCAUAAUGUGGAUAUCGUGUGCUAAAAACCAGUCUCUCGCGUCCGGACUUAUAGAGAAUCCGCAUGCGAUGGCGAUUUUGCCAGUUUAGGAAUGCUAACACAGCCACUUUCGUUGAAACGGGAGAAACAAUAUAAUGUUAGGAGUACAUCUGCAUAGUGGGUCAAACACGAUGAGGUCAUCAGUUAUUCAAUGCGACUAUAUAUACUUAAGGUAUACGACUGCCGGUCAGCCAUGUACGUAUGCAAAAUAUUAAAUAUUCAAUCCCUGAACAAAUGGCCCCGUCAUAGUUUUAUACAUCACGGAUAAUAAUUGGUUCCCCAUUUUUUUCUACGUGGCACAUAAUUGAAAAAUAAUCAAAAUAAUACAAUUAGGUAUUUUGAAAGUUGAUUACAAAAUAUUUUUGAUGCACAAUAAAAUAAUAUAAAAUAUUAUAAAAUCAAGGUUUUAUUUAUUUAUACACUAUAGAAGACUGUCACCUGGAGAAAUAAAACAGAUAAUUUAUUUUACUAAAAGAUAUAUUGAUCGAAAUAAUAAAAUACGAAUUGGAUAUUAUAUAAAAUCAACAUUAUGACGUGUAGAAAGAAGGUGUAUUUUAAAACAGUUUGCUAAAAAUAGUUUUAUAACCGAUUAGAUUAUGUUCAUGUCUUCUUGUCAUAUACUUAAAAAUAUGCUUAAAUUUUGUUGUGCUUUUAUUACAUAAUACUAUACUGUAAAAAAAUGUUCAAUAAUAUAUUGUUUUCCACAAAAAAUUGAAAAAAGAGUCAAUCAUGGAGUAGUGGUUACCAACUUAUUGUUCAAUUAUCCGCAUAAUUAGAACGUGUGCUAUGAAGAUGCAAGCUUCUGUUCUUCAAAUAAUACGUUCAUGAUAACAAAAGUUAUAAUAUGGUGGUGAUUAAACUGUUUAGAAUAUUUUAUUAAUUAAUAAAUAAUAUUAAACUUUCAACAUUUUUAAUUUAGAAAAAUGGUCCAAGUAUAAUAAAAUACUAGAUUCAAUAUUACAUCCAUUUAAUAUUUUUGUAAUACUGUUUUUUUGAACUAUUAUUCUUGGUGUAAACAUUUUAAUAACUGAUAAAUUGAUCUUUCGAAUUUUGAAUUAGGUAAAUUGACAUUAAAAAUAAUAUAUAUACGAGUAUUCACUAAAUAAUUUACAAUAAAAAAAAAGGUUCUUAUUUGAAAAAUAGUAGUUUUAUCAUCACAAGACACUGGACUUAGUAAAAAAUAAUCUCAAUUAUUUGAAAAUUAAUCUAUAAAAUAUAUUAUGAUUUAAAUACAUUUAAAAAUUUAAAAAUCAAAAUUUAAAUAAAUUCAUUGCUGAAGAAAUAAAUGAAGGUCAGUAUGACUGGAGAAUCACCUUGUAUAUAAUAUUAUAUAGGUGUAAGUACAAGGUACCAUCCAUAGAAUUAGCAAGCUUUAAACAGUUUCAUUUUUGGUUAUUAUAUUAAAACUUUUUUUUUGUUAUUGAUAUUUUUUAAGUCGUAAAAAAGUGUAUUGUACGUGUCAGAAAUUCCAAAAUACUUCAGAUGCGUGCCAUUCGUCGAAACUCGGAAAUACAAAUAUAAUAUUUACAAUUUACUUUACAUGUAUACAUAAAUUAAACAGUUAUUAAUAAUUAUGAUAUAAUAAUAUACGUUAAAGUCGUCAAAACACUAAACUCAAAAAUGUGUAUUCGUUUGCGAUUUUUCAUUUAAAAUGUUUUUUUUUUUUUUUUAAUAUGAAUAGUAAUGAAUAUAAUUCAUAACAAUAAUAAUUAAUAUUAUUAUGAGCUUAGCGAGCUUGGUCAUGUUCAUAUAUAGUACGUGUUUAACAUAGGCCAUAGUCCUCAUUAUUAUAAAUGUAUAACAUUUUUAUUCGUAUUCACAAAUAUCAUUGAUACUUACCUACGCGUUUUAUUUAAUGGUGCAUGGAACAUCACGUAAAUUCACAUUAUUAAUGUUGGUAGGUAUAAUACUGAUAUACUAUAUUGUGUAGUAUGUAUUAUUUUUUAAAAUCUACGUGAGAUAACAUCUAAGUAUGUUAUUAUUAUUUUACUUUUUAGACUAAAUGUUUUUUUUUUUAACUUGACAAAAUGUAAAAUACAUAAAUCAUUAAUAUUCUUUUAAAUUUUUACAAUAAAAAUAUUACCUAGUACUUUAAAUAUUUUAUGUAGGAUCCUUUACUGGCCUUGCUAACAAAUACCAGGUUUUGUAAAACAAUACGUCUUUAUAAAAUGCUUAUACUGCAGUCUGAAUAUGCUGUAGACUAAAUAAGUAAUUUAAAUGUUAAGGCGCGUGUUGUUCAAUAUAUAUUAUGAAUUAUGAUUUAAUUUUUAUUAUUAUUAUUAUUAAUAGUAGUAGUAUAAUAAACUUAGACAUAAACUAUCCAUAAAAUAUCCGUAAUUACUGUAAUUUUAUUGCUAAUAGCAAGUAUCGUUUUUUUCUCUUAAUUUAUAAUUAUGACUUAUGUUUAUUUAUGAUGAAUUCAAAAAAUUAUAUAUAAUAACCUACGUUUGUUUAUUAAAUAUGUGAACGAUAAAUAUUGGAAAACCGUAUUCAAAAUAAUUGUUUUAAUCUAUUAUGGGUACUAGGUACUGCUGUACUGGUUAAGUAUAGUAAAAUAUAUGGUACAUUUAAGUUGUAAAAAAAAUGCACAUUUUUUCUAACAUAAUUUAAUAUAUUAUUGUUACCUACCAAUCUUAAAUGUAUGUAAUUUUUAAAUAUAAUUAUUAAUAAUAAGUGACUUGAACGAUUUUAUAUUUAAUAUAAAUGACAUAGGUAGUGUAAGUAACAAGUGUAUACUGUAUAGUGUUGUACAUUACAAUUAACUUGAGAAAAAUGUUGUAUUUAAAUUUGUCAAUAAAUAGAUAUUAUUAUAGAACUGAAAUAAAUACAUUGAUGAUUUAGUUUUAUGAUUUAGCUUAAGUAAAAAUACAAAUAAUAUUAUUAUAAUUUAUAAUACUCACACGUUAAUAAUAAUUUAAUACAAUAAUAAUUUAUAAAAUUUAAACAAUACAAUAUGUAUUAUUAUUAUUAAUUAUAAUACAUUAAAAUAUAUAUUAUAGGUGUAUCAAUUAGUAUAUUUUAUACAAUAACAUUAUUAACAAUAUGUGAUAUUAUACUAAAUAGAUUAUUUUUAUAACAAUAUAUGUUUAUGUAUAUCAUUAUUAUUAUAUAACUUAAUGAUAAAUCAAAAACUGAGUACUUAGGACCGUAACUACAAUUUUCGUAGUAACAGGAAGAAGACAAAAAGGAGGUUGAACAGGAAAUAUAAAAGUCAGUGAUGCGUUAGCGAAAAAUUAUAACUGUUUUCAAUGAAAUAACAAUAGAUUUUGCUCUAAGCAUGGAAAAUUAAUAAUAAUGGAAAAAUGUAUAUUGAACAAUACAACUAAAUCAGCAAAACAAUUUAUUCUUGUUUGGUACAAUUUUAUUUUGUUUACUGCUCAACGACCUCAGUCCCUCCGGAAAAAUUAUUGUAUAGAUUUACAAUAUAUUGUGAUACCUAUAUAGGUAUCUUAAAAAUGAAUAGUCUUUGGUUUCUCAACAAAGAAGAUGUAUAGUAACAUAUAAUUUACUACCUGUAUUAAUAUUAUAUUCUAAAUUUCUAAAAACAUUUUAUCUUAAUUAUAUUUAUUUGUAUUUCAAGUUUAUAUAUAGUUAGAUAUUACAUAUUAUACGUUUAUAUAUAUAUUACAGUUAAUAUCAAAAAUAAUACUACAUGGAUUUCUGAUGGUAGUUAUACUUAAGUUAGGUAUAAUUUAUAACUUUAUAAGUAUAUUGUAAGUACCUAUAUGCAACAGACUUCUGGGUUAUAAUUACUGCAAGAACAAUAUAAAUAAGUUGUAUUAUUCACAUAAUUUAUUUGUGUGAACAUUCACAGA
Long non-coding RNA from Aphis gossypii (cotton aphid), 6971 nucleotides. RefSeq lists it as uncharacterized. The record is from RefSeq and is a predicted model, not a curated record. The transcript is spliced from 5 exons. NCBI's taxonomy places the organism in Eukaryota, Metazoa, Arthropoda, Insecta, Hemiptera, Aphididae.